RNAcentral lists this transfer RNA (72 nucleotides) under Cavia porcellus (domestic guinea pig). It matches the Rfam family "tRNA". Rfam says of the family: Transfer RNA (tRNA) molecules are approximately 80 nucleotides in length. Lineage: Eukaryota; Metazoa; Chordata; Mammalia; Rodentia; Caviidae. The record is from Rfam by way of RNAcentral.
GGAGAUGUGGCUCAGUGGUAGAGUUCUUGCCUGGCAUGCAUAAGGCUCUGGGUUCAAUCUCUAGCACCACAA